RNAcentral lists this small RNA (861 nucleotides) under Histoplasma capsulatum. Its description in RNAcentral is "hypothetical RNA". The record is from RNAcentral. RNAcentral also lists the same sequence under 1 other name. Lineage: Eukaryota; Fungi; Ascomycota; Eurotiomycetes; Onygenales; Ajellomycetaceae.
GGCUACUUGUAUGGCUGGGAUGAAUUCAAUAUACGGUUGCAGAAGUUCCUUCCACUCCAGCCACACCUAUACUCUUUCUUCGAGAUUGCCAUCCAUUCGAUGGCGUUCAAGUUGCAAUCCAUUGGGCGAGUGUUAGUCCGUUUGUGAUACCAAGAAAAGAGGAGAGAGAUCAAGGUGGGCCGAAAGAACCGGCAUGCCUAAGCUACAAUUCUGAUGAGAAACUAUCUACCAAGAAACCGCACUGCUGGCCGUUAUCAAGACGAGCGGAUAGCCACGCCACUACUGACAUCACGCGCGCGCAGAAUUGCUAUCAGGGCCAUAAAUAACCUUGACGAACCCUGGUCCAUGCAUGAAAGGCGGACGAGUCUCGCUAGAUAGCAAUCCAAUCGUGUUGUCAGAGGAGAGUGGGUUCAAAGUAAAGCGAGAAUUCGUGUAGUACGUCCAGUACGGGAAAUCAAAUAGUCCAAUCCACCCAGCUUCCCUGCCUUACGGCGAAAUGAUUGCUGCCGGGUGAGGAGAAGAGGACUAAGCGGUAGGGUCUAACUAGGGUCCCAGCGAAGAUGCUUAUUGAUGACAAAUUAGGGUAUGUUUCCGAAAUAUGGAAAGGAUGAGAACCAUCCAUGGCCUUUUUGUCGAUCUCUGGGGUAAUGUAAUUUGCUGUUUUAGCCCAUAAAGAAUAAAAGGUGGGGAGGGAAGACACCUUCUUUCGAUUUCUAAACAAGGCGUUCGGGCAGGCUAUGCUCGCUGCUGGCAUUUAUAUCCUCCCCUCCUUAUAUUGGAGAGGGAACUCGGAUGUUCGGCCUGCUGAGUUAACUAAGGUUUGCUGAGACGCAGACAGGGAGGAGGGCUUUAAACCACACA